RNAcentral lists this long non-coding RNA (2281 nucleotides) under Chinchilla lanigera (long-tailed chinchilla). RNAcentral's name for it is "lncRNA (ENSCLAG00000022912.1)". Lineage: Eukaryota; Metazoa; Chordata; Mammalia; Rodentia; Chinchillidae. The record is from RNAcentral.
AAUGUCCACCUUGGGCCCUUUGAUGUCAACUUCAGGCCCCUUGAGGUCACCUUCUACUUUGGGCAAAGAAACAUCCACAUCACCCUUCAGCUUUGGACCCUUCAGAUUCAGGUCAACUUCAGGCAUGGAGACCUUGGGGGCCUUGAGGUGCAGAUCAGGCAUCUUGAACUUGGGGCCUUUUAGUUUCCCUUCUGGACCCUGAAUGUCAAUGUCCGGAGGGUCCAUGUCCACCUUAGGGCCUUUCAGAUCUCCUUCUAGUUUGGGAAUGGAAACAUCCACAUCUCCCUUUACCUUAGGUCCUUUCAAGUUCAAAUCAAUGUCACUCAUGGAGAUUUGUGGGGUUUUGAAAUGGACAUCAGGCAUCUUAAAUCUAGGACCUUUGAGUUUGCCUUCAGGAACUUCAAUGUCCACCUCUGGCCCCUGCAUAUCACCUUCCAUUUUAGGUAGUGAAAGAGACACCUCCCCCUUUGACUUUGGCCCUUUGAGAUUUAAAUCAAAGUCAGGCAUGGAAAUCUUGGGGGCCUUCAUGUGCAUCUCUGGCAUUUUAAAUUUGGGACCCUUUAAUUUUCCUUCUGGACCUUCAAUACUAACGUCAGGAGCAUCAAUGUCCACACCAGGGCCCUUGAUAUCAAGUUCGGGGCCCUUGAGGUCACCUUCUACUUUGGGCAGAGAAACAUCCACAUCUCCUUUCACUUUGGGACCUUUCAGGUGUAAAUCAAGGUCAGGCAUGGAGAUCUUGGGGGCCUUGAUGUUCACCUCAGGCAUCUUGAACUUGGGACCCUUCAGUUUUGCAUCCGGACCUUCGAUAUUCACAUCCGGAACAUCAAUAUCAACCUUGGGCACUGAGACGUCAAUGUCGGCCUUGGGCAGGUUCACAUCCACCUCAGGACCUUCUGCUUUGAAACCAGGCAUGCUGAACUUGGGCAUUUUCAUCUUGGGCAUCUUCAGGUGCCAGUCUGGGCCAUGAACAUCCACAUCUGGAGCAUCAAUGUGCACCUUGGGGCCUUUGAGGUCAACUUCUGGCCCCUUCAGAUCACCUGCAAGUUUUGGAAGAGAAAGGUCCAUAUCACCUUCCACCUUGGGGCCUUUCAGAUUUAAGUCGACAUCUGGCAUGGAGAUCUGGGGCGCUCUGAUGUUCACGUCAGGCAUCCUGAAUUUGGGACCUUUUAAGCCUCCGUCUGGACCCUCCACAUUGACGUCUGGGCCCUCAAUGCUCAGACCUGGACCUCCUAUGUUCAUGUCUGCUUUUGGCACAUCCACAGCCACAUCAGGCCCUUCUGCUUUGAAGCCAGGCACACUAAACUUGGGCAUUUUCAUUUUGGGCAUUUUCAGGUGCCACUCAGGACCAUGGACAUCCACAUCAGGUGCUUUAAGAUGGACUUCAGGUGCCUGCAUAUCCAAAUUUGGACCUUUAAUCUCUCCUUCUAUGGUAGGAGCUGCAACUUCUAAGUCUCCUUUGACUUUAGGGCCUUUUAAAUUUAGCUCUACAUCAGGCAUAGACACUUUGGGAGAUGAAAUGCUCAAAAAAGGCAUUUUAAACUUGGAUCCUUUCACUUUUCCUUGGACUUCAACAUCAGGGGCAUUAACAUCAAAUUUUGGACCAGAUACAUCAACAUCUGGUUUUUUAACUUUGACAUCCACCUCAGGUGUCUGAACUUUUGAGCCAGAAAAAUUAAAUUUAGGAAGCUUAAAACGAGAUUUCUUUGACUUGCCUUCAAUAUGGAGUUUAGGCCCAGAAACGUCCAUUUCUGGACCCUUUACAUCCAAUUUAGGAGCAUUAAUGUCACCCUCCAAUUUGGGGCCAGAUACAUCAAUAUCUCCCUUCAGCUUUGAGCCCUUCAAGUUCAAGUCAAUUUCUGGCAUAGAGAUCUUUGGCAUGUUGACGUGCAUGUCAGGCAUCUUCAAUUUUGGACCUUUUAAUUUGCCCUCUGGCCCAUGAAUGUGAACAUCUGGAAUGUCUACAUCUAACUUUGGGCCCUUUAAGUCAACUCUAGGCCCCUCGAAAUCGCCCUCUACAUUUGCAAGUGAGAUAUCCACAUCUCCUUUCACUUUGGGACCUUUAAUAUUUAGGUCCAAAUCUGGUAUGGAGAUCUUGGGAGCCUUGAUGUUCAUCUCAGGCAUCUUGAACUUGGGGCCCUUCACUUUUGCAUCUGGACCUUCGAUAUUCACAUCUGGAACAUCAAUAUCAACCUUGGGCACUGAGACAUCAAUGUCGGCCUUGGGCAGGUUCACAUCCACCUCAGGGCCCUCUGCUUUGAAGCCGGGCAUGCUGAACUUGGGC